GACGAACGCUGGCGGCAGGCCUAACACAUGCAAGUCGAGCGCGCGGCGGACGGGUGAGUAAUGUAUGGGGACUGCCCGAUAGAGGGGGAUAACUACUGGAAACGGUGGCUAUUACCGCAUACUGUAGGAUAACCCAUAUGGGAUUAGCUCGUAGGUAAGGUAAAGGCUUACCUAGGCGACGAUCCCUAGCUGGUCUGAGAGGAUGAUCAGCCACACUGGAACUGAGACACGGCCCAGACUCCUACGGAGGCAGCAGUGGGGAAUAUUGCACAAUGGGCGCAAGCCUGAUGCAGCCAUGCCGCGUGUAUGAAGAAGGCCCUAGUGUUGUAAAGUACUUUCAGUCGGGAGGCGUUACCGACAGAAGAAGCACCGGCUAACUCCGUGCCAGCAGCCGCGGUAAUUC
Molecule: ribosomal RNA, 403 nt
Filed under: uncultured bacterium
Lineage: Bacteria
Description: partial 16S ribosomal RNA
Rfam family: Bacterial small subunit ribosomal RNA
Source: RNAcentral